Molecule: ribosomal RNA, 440 nt
Filed under: uncultured bacterium
Lineage: Bacteria
Description: partial 16S ribosomal RNA
Rfam family: Bacterial small subunit ribosomal RNA
Source: RNAcentral
CCUACGGGAGGCAGCAGUGGGGAAUAUUGGACAAUGGGGGAAACCCUGAUCCAGCGACGCCGCGUGAGUGAAGAAGUAUUUCGGUACGUAAAGCUCUAUCAGCAGGAAAGAAAAUGACGGUACCUGACUAAGAAGCCCCGGCUAACUACGUGCCAGCAGCCGCGGUAAUACGUAGGGGGCAAGCGUUAUCCGGAUUUACUGGGUGUAAAGGGGGCGUAGACGGCAGCGCAAGUCUGGAGUGAAAUGCCGGGGCCCAACCCCGGAACUGCUCUGGAAACUGUGCAACUGGAGUGCAGGAGAGGCAGGCGGAAUGCCUAGUGUAGCGGUGAAAUGCGUAGAUAUUAGGAGGAACACCAGUGGCGAAGGCGGCCUGCUGGACUGUAACUGACGUUGAGGCUCGAAAGCGUGGGGAGCAAACAGGAUUAGAUACCCCUGUAGUC